AGUCAGGGACACAGAAGCCACCUGUCCCACCCUUUUCAGGACAGAGCCCUCUGCCCCAGCCCAGCAGAAUUAAGUCUGCAAGCCAUCCCCCAACUCUGGAAUCCACAGGAAUCAUAGCAGGCAGCCCUUGGGAUUCAGGUUCUCCGUCUGAAUAUCUUUUGCGAAGUCUCUCCCCUUGCUUCCCUAUGACAACAAAAUGACAAGAGGCCAGAAGGCCUCUGGGAAGGGUGUCAUGGGGGCAGAAAGACACUCUUAGGCAGCUCUGUCCACAUGCCAGCUCGGCCACUGACUAGCUCUAAGAUCUUGGGCAAGACACUUAAUGCUUGAGCCUCAGUUUCCCUCAUCUGUAAAUGGUGACAAGACUUACCUUGCAGAGUGUCACAAAAACUAAAUGAAAAAUGUACAAGUGUCCAGCACUGGGCUGUGAUCAUUGCCCACCCCCUCAGAUGAUGCAGAAGAGGGGAAAGGAUCCCCCUUCCCCCUAGAGGGAACCUACAGCCUCUACCUGCAAACCAGACUCCCUUCAGGCUGCGUCCUAGGGAGAAGGAGUUAUGUUCAGAUCUCAGAACCCCAGAGAUCCCUGUCCGUUGGCGCCGCUGAAAUUUUAAUAAGCCCGAGACAGAAUAAAAAACUGCUACAUAAUGCAUAGAAGCUGGGCAGCAAAGGCACAUCAGCUAUGGUUUCCCAAGACGGCUGCCUGGGGGCUCUUCAUGGUCCAGUAACCCAACACCCGUUCUCUGACACCCCCACUGACCACAAGCUAACAGGCGGCAGGGGUGGGCCUAGGGAACGAGACUAAGAGGAUGAGCUCCCCACACACAAACUGUGGGCUCUGAAAGAGGCAGGUGAAUUCCACCACCCGUCAAGACUCCUCAUGGAUCCUGAAUCAAUACAGGCCUCUCCACCUACAGAUGGAGGGUGACACCCAGGGCCCGGUGGACACAAGCUGCCUGACGUGUAAAGAACAAGGAUCGACCUCAACUGCUUUCCUCUCCUCUGCCCCAAGAAAGGGAAGUAAUGGGGCUUCACCAACAGCUGCCCCUUACGUGGGGAUACCUGCCCCUCUGUGAGAGAAACUAAGAUCUCUGCCAUGUAACAGGUGGUCCCCACAGCAUGAUUGGCCAAACUCCCUGGGGUGCCCACAGUGCCAGGCUGGCCUUUUAACCCACGGGAUCUUUGUGAGGGACAGAACCAGGGCUCUCAGUCACUCUGCCACCAACUCCCCAACAUUUUAAGCUUCUUGGGCUUCCAUUUCCUUUUACAGAGCUGGGGCAAAGCCCAAUCCAGGGCCACUCAAGGAAGCCCGUGAACAGGUGCUGGCCCAGAAACUGUUACUGUCCUGUGAUGAGAAACUACAGAAACAUACGAUUCAGACAAUUUCCAAUUUUAACCCAAUGAGAGGAAAGACCGUUUUUGCAAACUUGUGAUCGUUAGAGGGCCUGAGGCCCCUGAUGCUCAAGUACUGAAAUGCUCCAGACGGCGGGACUUUGCAAGCCACAGCUGCCCCCCUCCUCCUCAGGAGACCCUCCAAGACCAGCAGGUGCUACUGAAUGAGUGUGCUUGAUCCAGGGAACAGCUGAAGCACUGAAUGCAGUUCAUGGAUUCAUUGCAGAAAAAAUUCGAGAAGUGCCCUCAAAUGUGGCCAAGACAGAACCAGUCAGCAUUCUACAACCCCAGACCACCGUUAACCCAGACUGCAUCAAACAAACAUUGCUAUCUUCCCCAACUACCACCAAGUCCUCUCCAUCGGAUCCCAUGACCACCUCCAGAGCUAAUCAGGUACAGUAUCAUCCCAUCAUCUACACCAUACUUUUCACGGUUGAUUGCUUGCAGACUGGAGAAAAAGAUACUGGUGUGUUAAGGAUGUAUUGGUUCAUUCAUUCACAUAUGUGCACCAUCAUCAGAUUCCAAGUAACCUGAGAAAGAAAUAUCAAUUAUUCC
Molecule: non-coding RNA, 1941 nt
Organism: Kogia breviceps (pygmy sperm whale)
Lineage: Eukaryota; Metazoa; Chordata; Mammalia; Artiodactyla; Physeteridae
Source: RefSeq, a predicted model, not a curated record